AAUAUUGCACAAUGGGGGAAACCCUGAUGCAGCAACGCCGCGUGAGCGAUGAAGGCCUUCGGGGCGUAAAGCCCUGUCCUAAGGGAAGAUAAUGACGGUACCUUAGGAGGAAGCCCCGGCUAACUCCGUGCCAGCAGCCGCGGUAAUACGUAGGGGGCAAGCGUUAUCCGGAAUCAUUGGGCGUAAAGGGUGCGUAGGCUGCCCUAUAGGUCAGAGGUCAAAGGGUACGGCUCAACCGUAGUAAGCCUUUGAAACUGGAGGGCUUGAGUGCAGGAGAGGAGAGUGGAAUGCCUAGUGUAGCGGUGAAAUGCAUAGAUAUUAGGAGGAACACCAGUGGCGAAGGCGACUCUCUGGCCUGCAACUGACGCUGAGGCACGAAAGCGUGGGUAGCGAACA
RNAcentral lists this ribosomal RNA (396 nucleotides) under uncultured bacterium. Its description in RNAcentral is "partial 16S ribosomal RNA". It matches the Rfam family "Bacterial small subunit ribosomal RNA", at positions 360 to 774 of the family's 1533-position model. The record is from RNAcentral.